RNAcentral lists this long non-coding RNA (1363 nucleotides) under Homo sapiens (human). RNAcentral describes it as "non-protein coding lnc-ALS2CR12-1:2". The record is from RNAcentral. Lineage: Eukaryota; Metazoa; Chordata; Mammalia; Primates; Hominidae.
AUGCUAAAAAUAACUAUUCCUACAAUUAUACUACUACCAAUAACAUGACUCUCUAAAAAUUAUACAAUUUGAAUCAAUAUGGCUACCCACAGCCUAAUCACCAGCUUCAUUGCCCUAUUAUUCUUUAACUAAUUCAACGACAAUCUAUUCAACUUCUCAUUAACUUUCUCCUCUGAUCCGCUAACAUCACCCCUUCUAAUCUUAACAGCCUGACUACUACCUCUUAUAACUAUAGCAAGCCAGUACCACCUCUCCAGUGAAUCACCCCUAUGGAAAAAACCCUGUAUUUCCAUAUUAAUUUCCCUACAAAUUUUUCUAAUCAUAGCAUUUACAGCCACAGAACUAAUUAUAUUUUAUAUUCUCUUUGAAGCUACACUUAUCCCUAUCUUAAUUAUUAUCACCCGAUGGGGUAACCAACCAGAACGCCUCAAUGCAGGUACAUAUCUCUUAUUUUACACACUAGUGGGAUCCCUCCCCCUACUUAUUACACUUAUUUAUGCCCAAAAUAUCCUAGGCUCACUGAGCAUGAUAAUAAUAACAUUUAAUAUCAAGAACUACCAAUCUCCUGAUCCAACAAUCUCAUGUGAUUGGCAUGUAUAAUGGCCUUCAUAGUAAAAAUACCCCUAUACUGACUUCACCUAUGACUUCCCAAAGCCCAUGUAUAAGCACCUAAGGCUGGCUCAAUAGUACUUGCAGCAGUGCUCCUAAAAUUGGGCGGCUACACAAAAUGCGACUUACCCUCAUCCUCAGCCCUCUGACAGAACAUAUAGCCUAUCCUUUCCUGAUAUUAUCCUUAUGAGGCAUAUUAUGACAAGCUCCAUCUGUCUACGACAAACUGAUCUAAAGUCACUUAUUGCACAUUCCUCCGUAAGCCACAUGGUACUUGUUACUGUGGCUAUCCUCAUUCAAACCCCCUGAAGUUUUACCAGUGCAAUUAUCCUCAUAAUUCCCCAUGGACUUACUUCGUCCCUACUAUUCUGCCUAGCAAAUUCAAACUACAAGUGAAUCCACAGCUGAAUCAUAUUACUCUCUCGAGGACGUCAAACAUUACUUCCACUAGUAACCUUUUGAUGACUUACAGCAAAUCUCACCAACCUUGCCCUACCCCCCACUAUUAAUCUAGUAGGAGAACUCCUUGUAACAACGGCUUCAUUCUCCUGAUCAAACACUACCAUCAUGCUUAUAGGACUUAAUAUAUUAAUCACAGCCCUUUAUUCCCUCUAUAUACUUGUCACAACACAACAAGGAACACUAACAUACUAUAUUAACAGCAUUAAACCUUCCUUUACACGAGAAAACAUACUAAUACUCAUACACCUUUCACCAAUUCUCUUACUAUCUCUAAAUCCUAAAAUUAUUAUAG